AUUGAAUUUAAAUUAAAAAAUUUAAAAAAUUAUUAUAGAUAUAUAAUUUAGUAAUUUAUUGAAUAAUUAAAUAAAUUUAUAAAUAAAGUAUUGAUAAAGACUUAAAUUAUUGUGAUAAAAGUAAAUUUAAUUAAUUUUGUACCUUUUGUAUCAGGGUUUAUUAAAUAAAUUAAUAGAAUUUAUAUUCUCGAAUUGAACUGAUCUAAUUAAUUAUAUUAAUUAAUGUAUAAUUAUUAUUAAUAAUAAUUAAUUUGAUAUUAUAUGUAUUUCAUAGUUUAAUAUAUCUAGUUAUUUUAUAAAUAAAUUUAAUUUAAAAUUAUUAUAAAUUUAAUAAUAAUUCUUAAUUAUUAAAUUUUUAAUUUUUUAAUAAUUUAAGGGAUAAACUUUAAAUUAAUAUUAAUAUUUAAAUAAAUAUAUUAUAUAUCUUAUGAUUAAAAUUAUUAAUAGAUUUAUAAAAUUUAAUAAUUAAUUAUUGGUAAAAUAAAUUUAUUAGAUAAUUUAGUUACUUAUAAAAUUAAUAAUUUAAAUAAAAUAAAUUAUUAAAUAAUGAUAAAAUUAGUAAAAUUUUUUAUAUUAUAUUUAUAAUUUUAAAUAUUAUUUUAAGGAAUUAGACAAUAAUGAAUAUUUACCUGUUUAAUAAAAACAUGGUUUAUUGAUAAUAAUUUUAAAUCUAAUCUGCUCAAUGAUUGAAUUAAAUAGCUGCAGUAUUUUAACUGUACUAAGGUAGCAUAAUCAUUUGUCUUAUUAAUUAAGUCUGGAAUGAAUGAUUGAAUAAAAUAUUAAUUGUCUCAAUUUAAUAAAUUGAAUUUAAUUUUAAGUUAAAAAUCUUAAAUAUAAUUAAGGGACGAGAAGACCCUAUAGAAUUUUAUAUAAAUUUUUUAAAUAAUUGAAAUAAUAAUUUAAAAAUUUUAAUAUUUUUUUGGGGUGAAAAUAAAAUUUAAUAAAUUUUUAUAAAAUUUAAUAUUAAUAUAUAAAUUUAAAAAUCUUAAAAUUUAAAUAAUAAAAUAAAUUACCUUAGGGAUAACAGCGUAAUUUCUUUAGAGAGUUCAUAUUGAUAGAGAAGAUUGCGACCUCGAUGUUGAAUUAAGAUAUAAAAUUAAUGAAGAAAUUAAUUUUUUUAGUCUGUUCGACUAUUUAAAUCUUACAUGAUUUGAGUUUAGAUCGGCGUGAGCCAGAUCGGAUUCUAUCUUUAAUUAUUUAAUAUUAAUUUGUACGAAAGGACUAUUAAUUUAUAAAAUUUAUUAAUAUUUGAAUAAUAAUAAAAUUUUUACUUUGGCAGAUUAGUGCAU
This 1289-nucleotide ribosomal RNA is filed under the name Merostenus sp. RNAcentral's name for it is "16S ribosomal RNA". Lineage: Eukaryota; Metazoa; Arthropoda; Insecta; Hymenoptera; Eupelmidae. The record is from RNAcentral.